CGCUGGCGGCGUGCCUAACACAUGCAAGUCGAACGGGGCAAUUUCUUCGGAGAUUGCUUAGUGGCGAACGGGUGAGUAACGCGUGAGAAACCUGCCUUUCAGUGGGGGACAACAGUUGGAAACGACUGCUAAUACCGCAUAAUGUAUCGAUGGGGCAUCCUGUUGAUACCAAAGAUUUAUUGCUGAAAGAUGGUCUCGCGUCUGAUUAGCUAGUUGGUGAGGUAACGGCUCACCAAGGCGACGAUCAGUAGCCGGUCUGAGAGGAUGAACGGCCACAUUGGGACUGAGAUACGGCCCAGACUCCUACGGGAGGCAGCAGUGGGGAAUAUUGGGCAAUGGGCGCAAGCCUGACCCAGCAACGCCGCGUGAAGGAAGAAGGUCUUCGGAUCGUAAAGCUCUGUUGAGAGGGACGAGAGAUAUAAUCAGGAAAUGGGUUAUAGAGGACGGUACCUUUCGAGGAAGCCACGGCUAACUACGUG
This 479-nucleotide ribosomal RNA is filed under the name uncultured bacterium. RNAcentral's name for it is "bacterial SSU rRNA". It matches the Rfam family "Bacterial small subunit ribosomal RNA", at positions 34 to 507 of the family's 1533-position model. The record is from RNAcentral.